RNAcentral lists this ribosomal RNA (277 nucleotides) under uncultured bacterium. RNAcentral's name for it is "partial 16S ribosomal RNA". It matches the Rfam family "Bacterial small subunit ribosomal RNA", at positions 28 to 304 of the family's 1533-position model. The record is from RNAcentral.
GAUGAACGCUGGCGGCGUGCCUAACACAUGCAAGUCGAACGUGAGGGGCGUUUUCGGAUGCCCUGAAAGUGGCGAACGGGUGAGUAACACGUAGAUAACCUGCCCUGGAGUGGGGGAUAACCACUGGAAACGGUGGCUAAUACCGCAUAGGCCCUUGAAGUCGGGAGGCUUCGAGGGGAAAGCUCCGGCGCUUCAGGAGGGGUCUGCGUCCGAUUAGCUAGUUGGCGGGGUAACGGCCCACCAAGGCGACGAUCGGUAGCUGGUCUGAGAGGACGAU